RNAcentral lists this ribosomal RNA (2932 nucleotides) under Escherichia coli. RNAcentral describes it as "23S ribosomal RNA". It matches the Rfam family "Bacterial large subunit ribosomal RNA". Lineage: Bacteria; Pseudomonadati; Pseudomonadota; Gammaproteobacteria; Enterobacterales; Enterobacteriaceae. The record is from RNAcentral.
GGGUUGUGAGGUUAAGCGACUAAGCGUACACGGUGGAUGCCCUGGCAGUCAGAGGCGAUGAAGGACGUGCUAAUCUGCGAUAAGCGUCGGUAAGGUGAUAUGAACCGUUAUAACCGGCGAUUUCCGAAUGGGGAAACCCAGUGUGAUUCGUCACACUAUCAUUAACUGAAUCCAUAGGUUAAUGAGGCGAACCGGGGGAACUGAAACAUCUAAGUACCCCGAGGAAAAGAAAUCAACCGAGAUUCCCCCAGUAGCGGCGAGCGAACGGGGAGCAGCCCAGAGCCUGAAUCAGUGUGUGUGUUAGUGGAAGCGUCUGGAAAGGCGUGCGAUACAGGGUGACAGCCCCGUACACAAAAAUGCACAUGCUGUGAGCUCGAUGAGUAGGGCGGGACACGUGGUAUCCUGUCUGAAUAUGGGGGGACCAUCCUCCAAGGCUAAAUACUCCUGACUGACCGAUAGUGAACCAGUACCGUGAGGGAAAGGCGAAAAGAACCCCGGCGAGGGGAGUGAAAAAGAACCUGAAACCGUGUACGUACAAGCAGUGGGAGCACAGAGCAAUCUGUGUGACUGCGUACCUUUUGUAUAAUGGGUCAGCGACUUAUAUUCUGUAGCAAGGUUAACCGAAUAGGGGAGCCGAAGGGAAACCGAGUCUUAACUGGGCGUUAAGUUGCAGGGUAUAGACCCGAAACCCGGUGAUCUAGCCAUGGGCAGGUUGAAGGUUGGGUAACACUAACUGGAGGACCGAACCGACUAAUGUUGAAAAAUUAGCGGAUGACUUGUGGCUGGGGGUGAAAGGCCAAUCAAACCGGGAGAUAGCUGGUUCUCCCCGAAAGCUAUUUAGGUAGCGCCUCGUGAAUUCAUCUCCGGGGGUAGAGCACUGUUUCGGCAAGGGGGUCAUCCCGACUUACCAACCCGAUGCAAACUGCGAAUACCGGAGAAUGUUAUCACGGGAGACACACGGCGGGUGCUAACGUCCGUCGUGAAGAGGGAAACAACCCAGACCGCCAGCUAAGGUCCCAAAGUCAUGGUUAAGUGGGAAACGAUGUGGGAAGGCCCAGACAGCCAGGAUGUUGGCUUAGAAGCAGCCAUCAUUUAAAGAAAGCGUAAUAGCUCACUGGUCGAGUCGGCCUGCGCGGAAGAUGUAACGGGGCUAAACCAUGCACCGAAGCUGCGGCAGCGACGCUGAUGCGUUGUUGGGUAGGGGAGCGUUCUGUAAGCCUGUGAAGGUGUACUGUGAGGUAUGCUGGAGGUAUCAGAAGUGCGAAUGCUGACAUAAGUAACGAUAAAGCGGGUGAAAAGCCCGCUCGCCGGAAGACCAAGGGUUCCUGUCCAACGUUAAUCGGGGCAGGGUGAGUCGACCCCUAAGGCGAGGCCGAAAGGCGUAGUCGAUGGGAAACAGGUUAAUAUUCCUGUACUUGGUGUUACUGCGAAGGGGGGACGGAGAAGGCUAUGUUGGCCGGGCGACGGUUGUCCCGGUUUAAGCGUGUAGGCUGGUUUUCCAGGCAAAUCCGGAAAAUCAAGGCUGAGGCGUGAUGACGAGGCACUACGGUGCUGAAGCAACAAAUGCCCUGCUUCCAGGAAAAGCCUCUAAGCAUCAGGUAACAUCAAAUCGUACCCCAAACCGACACAGGUGGUCAGGUAGAGAAUACCAAGGCGCUUGAGAGAACUCGGGUGAAGGAACUAGGCAAAAUGGUGCCGUAACUUCGGGAGAAGGCACGCUGAUAUGUAGGUGAAGUCCCUCGCGGAUGGAGCUGAAAUCAGUCGAAGAUACCAGCUGGCUGCAACUGUUUAUUAAAAACACAGCACUGUGCAAACACGAAAGUGGACGUAUACGGUGUGACGCCUGCCCGGUGCCGGAAGGUUAAUUGAUGGGGUUAGCGCAAGCGAAGCUCUUGAUCGAAGCCCCGGUAAACGGCGGCCGUAACUAUAACGGUCCUAAGGUAGCGAAAUUCCUUGUCGGGUAAGUUCCGACCUGCACGAAUGGCGUAAUGAUGGCCAGGCUGUCUCCACCCGAGACUCAGUGAAAUUGAACUCGCUGUGAAGAUGCAGUGUACCCGCGGCAAGACGGAAAGACCCCGUGAACCUUUACUAUAGCUUGACACUGAACAUUGAGCCUUGAUGUGUAGGAUAGGUGGGAGGCUUUGAAGUGUGGACGCCAGUCUGCAUGGAGCCGACCUUGAAAUACCACCCUUUAAUGUUUGAUGUUCUAACGUUGACCCGUAAUCCGGGUUGCGGACAGUGUCUGGUGGGUAGUUUGACUGGGGCGGUCUCCUCCUAAAGAGUAACGGAGGAGCACGAAGGUUGGCUAAUCCUGGUCGGACAUCAGGAGGUUAGUGCAAUGGCAUAAGCCAGCUUGACUGCGAGCGUGACGGCGCGAGCAGGUGCGAAAGCAGGUCAUAGUGAUCCGGUGGUUCUGAAUGGAAGGGCCAUCGCUCAACGGAUAAAAGGUACUCCGGGGAUAACAGGCUGAUACCGCCCAAGAGUUCAUAUCGACGGCGGUGUUUGGCACCUCGAUGUCGGCUCAUCACAUCCUGGGGCUGAAGUAGGUCCCAAGGGUAUGGCUGUUCGCCAUUUAAAGUGGUACGCGAGCUGGGUUUAGAACGUCGUGAGACAGUUCGGUCCCUAUCUGCCGUGGGCGCUGGAGAACUGAGGGGGGCUGCUCCUAGUACGAGAGGACCGGAGUGGACGCAUCACUGGUGUUCGGGUUGUCAUGCCAAUGGCACUGCCCGGUAGCUAAAUGCGGAAGAGAUAAGUGCUGAAAGCAUCUAAGCACGAAACUUGCCCCGAGAUGAGUUCUCCCUGACUCCUUGAGAGUCCUGAAGGAACGUUGAAGACGACGACGUUGAUAGGCCGGGUGUGUAAGCGCAGCGAUGCGUUGAGCUAACCGGUACUAAUGAACCGUGAGGCUUAACCUUACAACGCCGAAGCUGUU